AAGAUAUUAGUUAUUGCAUAAACACACUAAUAAAUAAUUAUUAAUUUAGCUAAUAUUUUAUUAUUAAAUUAGUUAAUUUUUAAUUUAGCUAAUUAGUUAAUAAAAUGAUAUAUAUAAUAUAUUAAUUAAUAAUAUUUUAUUAUUAAACUAGUAGAGGUAUAAAGAGAAAAUUUUGUUAUUCCACCAAACGGGUGGAACAACAAAUCCCCCCUCUUAACGGGUUAUUCUAGAAUAACCCGUUAAGAGGGGAUUAAAUAAACUCACUCCCUCUUACAGUGUUUGGAUGAAUUAGAAG
RNAcentral lists this long non-coding RNA (295 nucleotides) under Ananas comosus (pineapple). RNAcentral's name for it is "long non-coding RNA (ACOM_LNC041110)". Lineage: Eukaryota; Viridiplantae; Streptophyta; Magnoliopsida; Poales; Bromeliaceae. The record is from RNAcentral.